AGAGUUUGAUCCUGGCUCAGGAUGAACGCUAGCUACAGGCUUAACACAUGCAAGUCGAGGGGAAACGACAUCGAAAGCUUGCUUUUGAUGGGCGUCGACCGGCGCACGGGUGAGUAACGCGUAUCCAACCUGCCCAUCACUUGGGGAUAACCCUGCGAAAGUAAGACUAAUACCCAAUGAUAUCUCUAGAAGACAUCUGAAAGAGAUUAAAGAUUUAUCGGUGAUGGAUGGGGAUGCGUCUGAUUAGCUUGUUGGCGGGGUAACGCCACAAGGCUACGAUCAGUAGGGGUUCUGAGAGGAAGGUCCCCACAUUGGAACUGAGACACGGUCCAAACUCCUACGGGAGGCA
This 349-nucleotide ribosomal RNA is filed under the name uncultured bacterium. Its description in RNAcentral is "bacterial SSU rRNA". It matches the Rfam family "Bacterial small subunit ribosomal RNA", at positions 8 to 350 of the family's 1533-position model. The record is from RNAcentral.